Molecule: unclassified non-coding RNA, 113 nt
Organism: Cercocebus atys (sooty mangabey)
Lineage: Eukaryota; Metazoa; Chordata; Mammalia; Primates; Cercopithecidae
Rfam family: Y RNA
About the family: Y RNAs are components of the Ro ribonucleoprotein particle (Ro RNP), in association with Ro60 and La proteins.
Source: Ensembl
AGCUGGUUUGAAAGUAGUGAGUUAUCAAAAUAGAUUUUUCAUAAUCAGUUAUUAAUCAAACUUCUUGUUCUACCCUUUCCCCUCCUGUCACUACCGCACUUCAGUAGUCUAAA